RNAcentral lists this small RNA (4498 nucleotides) under Pan troglodytes (chimpanzee). RNAcentral describes it as "processed transcript". The record is from RNAcentral. Lineage: Eukaryota; Metazoa; Chordata; Mammalia; Primates; Hominidae.
AGAAGAGGAAGAUGAUGAUCCUGAUGUUUAUUACUUUGAAUCAGAUCAUGUGGCACUGAAACACAACAAAGAUUAUCAGAGACUAUUACAGACGAUUGCUGUACUCGAGGCUCAGCGUUCUCAAGCAGUCCAAGACCUUGAAAGUUUAGGCAGGCACCAGAGAGAAGCACUGAAAAAUCCCAUUGGAUUUGUGGAAAAACUCCAGAAGAAGGCUGAUAUUGGGCUUCCAUAUCCACAGAGAGUUGUUCAAUUGCCUGAGAUCGUAUGGGACCAAUAUACCCAUAGCCUUGGGAAUUUUGAAAGAGAAUUUAAAAAUCGUAAAAGACAUACUAGAAGAGUUAAGCUAGUUUUUGAUAAAGGUUUACCUGCUAGACCAAAAAGUCCUUUAGAUCCUAAGAAGGAUGGAGAGUCCCUUUCAUAUUCUAUGUUGCCUUUGAGUGAUGGUCCAGAAGGCUCAAGCAGUCGUCCUCAGAUGAUAAGAGGACGCUUGUGUGAUGAUACCAAACCUGAAACAUUUAACCAAUUGUGGACUGUUGAAGAACAGAAAAAGCUGGAACAGCUACUCAUCAAAUACCCUCCUGAAGAAGUAGAAUCUCGACGCUGGCAGAAGAUAGCAGAUGAAUUGGGCAACAGGACAGCAAAACAGGUUGCCAGCCGAGUACAGAAGUAUUUCAUAAAGCUAACUAAAGCUGGCAUUCCAGUACCAGGCAGAACACCAAACUUAUAUAUAUACUCCAAAAAGUCUUCAACAAGCAGACGACAGCACCCUCUUAAUAAGCAUCUCUUUAAGCCUUCCACUUUCAUGACUUCACAUGAACCGCCAGUGUAUAUGGAUGAAGAUGAUGACCGAUCUUGUUUUCAUAGCCACAUGAACACUGCUGUUGAAGAUGCAUCAGAUGACGAAAGUAUUCCUAUCAUGUAUAGGAAUUUACCUGAAUAUAAAGAACUAUUACAGUUUAAAAAGUUAAAGAAGCAGAAACUUCAGCAAAUGCAAGCUGAAAGUGGAUUUGUGCAACAUGUGGGCUUUAAGUGUGAUAACUGUGGCAUAGAACCCAUCCAGGGUGUUCGGUGGCAUUGCCAGGAUUGUCCUCCAGAAAUGUCUUUGGAUUUCUGUGAUUCUUGUUCAGACUGUCUACAUGAAACAGAUAUUCACAAGGAAGAUCACCAAUUAGAACCUAUUUAUAGGUCAGAGACAUUCUUAGACAGAGACUACUGUGUGUCUCAGGGCACCAGUUACAAUUACCUUGACCCAAACUACUUUCCAGCAAACAGAUGACAUGGAAGAGAACAUCAUUUACUAGUCCUCUUCAACACAUAGCAAUGGUAUCAUUGUUAAUUAUGUGCACAGUUUGGAAAGAUUCUCUGCUUUCCCAGAAAUGACACUCACAGCAUGAGAGCUUCCUGAGUGUUCUCGUCAAGUACAGCUCUGCACCGUUGUGGCUCUAGAUCACUGUUCAGCAGCUGAACAUUCCUGGUGAGCAAAGGUUUCCCUGGUGAAUUUUUCACCACUGCGUUUUAGGUGGUGAUCUUAAAUGGGUGAGAUGGAAUGAGAGCACACAUUAAAGAGAGAGUAAAUUCCAAAGGUUUCAAAGAACUUGGUCAUAAAUAUGAUAAUGAGAAGACAAAGUAUUUAUAUUAAAACAGUUUAGUAGCCUUCAGUUUUGUGAAAAUAGUUUUCAGCACAGAAACUGACUUCUUUAGACAAAGUUUUAACCAAUGAUGGUGUUUGCUUCUAGGAUAUACACUUUAAAAGAACUCACUGUCCCAGUGGUGGUCAUUGAUGGCCUUUAGUAAAUUGGAGCUGCUUAAUCAUAUUGAUAUCUAAUUUCUUUUAACCACAAUGAAUUGUCCUUAAUUACCAACAGUGAAGCACUACAGGAGGCAACUGUGGCAUUGCUUCCUUAACCAGCUCAUGGUGUGUGAAUGUUAUAAAAUUGUCACUCAGAUAUAUUUUUUAAAUGUAAUGUUAUAUAAGAUGAUCAUGUGAUGUGUACAAACUAUGGUGAGAAGUGCCAGUGGUAGUAACUGUGUAAAGUUUCUAAUUCACAACAUUAAUUCCUUUAAAAUACACAGCCUUCUGCCUCUGUAUUUGGAGUUGUCAGUACAACUCAUCAAAGAAAACUGCCUAAUAUAAAAAUCAUAUAUAUGGUAAUAAUUUCCCUCUUUUGUAGUCUGCACAAGAUCCAUAAAAGAUUGUAUUUUUAUUACUAUUUAAACAAGUGAUUAAAUUUAGUCUGCACAGUGAGCAAGGGUUCACAUGCAUUCUUUUAUACUGCUGGAUUUUGUUGUGCAUCAUUUAAAACAUUUUGUAUGUUUCUUCUUAUCUGUGUAUACAGUAUGUUCUUGAAUGAUGUUCAUUUGUCAGGAGAACUGUGAGAAAUAAACUAUGUGGAUACUGUCUGUUUAUAUUAUAGAAUGCUUGUUGUGACUUCCUUUUGGUUAGAUUUUGGAUUUUUUUUUUACCAGUGUUAAAACCAGAAAUUGGUAUUUUUUAAAAUGGUUUGCUUCACAUAUUUAAGAGUUUACUUUCUGUCGUUUAUGAAGAAUAAGGAAUAUAUUAUGGAAUAGAGGGUGAUCUUAAGCAACCCUGUAAAAAAUGGUAAAGUUUUUUACUCAGUGUGUGCUGAAACACUAAAUUAAACUAGCUUACAAAAAGGAAACACGGACCAUGGUUAAAGAAAAAGGCAAUUAUUAAUGCUCAGGUGUGAAAACUAAAGUUGAAAAUUUUUUUUCUAGUUGUGUCUCAUGAAGAUAAGCCCCCAUGUAUUUAAACAGAUGGCUUUUGAAAAAUCACCUUGUUUCCUGGAAAUUACUGUUAACUAUAGGAAAAGAUAGUAUAAAUAUUCUAAGAUUGAUUGUUAUUUUUGACCCAAUUUUUAGAAUCACCUGUUUUUUCCUAUUUUAAAUCAAGGGAACAUUAUUUACUAGUUCUCUUCAGUACAUAGCAGGGUACCAAAAUCAUACCCUGAUUUUUUUUUUAAUUGAGAAAAGUAAUAGAAUUUUAAAUAUAGAAAUAUGAGAAUUUUAAAGUAAUAUAUUGAUUAAAGAUCACUGAUGAUAUAGAUAUAAUAUAUCAUAACGGAAGGAAAAGUAAAUGGACUUGAGCUUAACUUCUCACCCUGGAAUUAUUAGUGGGUGAAGAGGGGAAUCAUUAGCAUUCUGGGCAUUUUUAUAUUAAAUGUUUUGUGAAUAUGCCAGAAGAUCUGCCUUCAACUUGUAAUUAGGCAAGAUAGUAACGCUUGAUGGUAACUUCUAUGUUUGUGUAGAAAUAAUACCAGUUAGUUUUGGAAAGCCAUUCAGAUCCAUUCAAAAAUUCCAUAAAGUAUGAUGUAUGCUUUGGAAGAGGGAUAUGAGUGAUACAAUUGUUAUAUAAAUGGAAUAGACAAACCAUUUGAAUGCAUUUUUCAAGGGCAAACAUUUUUUUGAGAUUUUUGAGUUAAGAAGAUUUUUCGGCUUGAGCAGAAGAUGUGUUUGUUUUGCAUUUUUCAGCUCCAGGCAAAUAGCUCCCAUGGCUUUAAAAGGCCCUGAAGUUCAGAUAGUAGUAGGUAGUGUUUUGUUAUUGUUUUAAUUUGAGAGUUGCAGGAAUAAUGGGCAGAGCUGUCAUUUGCCAGUAGGCUACCAUCUGCCUACAUAGAAUUAUUGGACUGUAAGCUAAAACAGACUGUAAAAGACCUACUUGCUAAAGCAUUGCUUAUUCAGUGGUAUUCAGUAGAUAAGAUCUAUUUCCUGAUACAUUGUGCUCAAGUUAUUUGCACAUCUUAAGAAACUUUUAAUAUCUAAAACCAUUGCUGUAAGAUUUAGGUAGAGGAGGUUUCCUUUUGUGUGAUGCAUAAUAAUAGAAAACACUGAUACAGUGUUUACUAUGUGCCAAGCAAGCUAUGAUAACUAAUUCUUAACAACUCUAUGAGGCAGGGUCAUUUAUUAUCCUGUUGUCAUAUGAGGAAAUCUCGCCAGAGAGAAGUUAAUUAACCUGCCCAAGGUCGUAUAGUUAGUAAAGCGGUGAUGUUUGAAUUUUAACCUAGGCAGAUUACUUCAGAGUCAGUGUCUGCCUUACUAUCCUGUUUCCUGAGCAGGAAUUUCCCCUUGUGUCAGGCAACACUAGGUGUUAGGAGUGGAGGUGUGCAGGUGUUGCCUUACAUUCUGUUUUCCUGACGUGGUGUGCUUCCUAAGAGUAAAAACCUGAGCAUAUGUCCAGGCUUGCAAAGUCUCAGGCAAAGCUGGGACUAAGGCUUGUGUUUCCUGCCUUGGGUAGGAUUUUCUUCUAUGCAUGUUGGGUGCUUCUCACUUAACCUAAUAGUAUGCCUUGUCUGUUUUCCCCCCUUCCCCUUUUUGUUUAAAUUGAUUCACAGAACACAAAAAUUUACUAGGUAUGAACAUUUGAAAAAAUAGAGAAAAUGGUACAUCACAUGUAAUAAAGAUAAAUAUUGUUUUGUGAAAUGUCUUUUUCAAUCAUAAAUAUAAGUGUUGUGUGCUAUAUAAAACUAUUUCUUAUUGUGGA